AAAUUGAAGAGUUUGAUCAUGGCUCAGAUUGAACGCUGGCGGCAGGCCUAACACAUGCAAGUCGAGCGGUAGCACAGAGAGCUUGCUCUCGGGUGACGAGCGGCGGACGGGUGAGUAAUGUCUGGGAAACUGCCUGAUGGAGGGGGAUAACUACUGGAAACGGUAGCUAAUACCGCAUAACGUCGCAAGACCAAAGAGGGGGACCUUCGGGCCUCUUGCCAUCAGAUGUGCCCAGAUGGGAUUAGCUAGUAGGUGGGGUAACGGCUCACCUAGGCGACGAUCCCUAGCUGGUCUGAGAGGAUGACCAGCCACACUGGAACUGAGACACGGUCCAGACUCCUACGGGAGGCAGCAGUGGGGAAUAUUGCACAAUGGGCGCAAGCCUGAUGCAGCCAUGCCGCGUGUAUGAAGAAGGCCUUCGGGUUGUAAAGUA
This 433-nucleotide ribosomal RNA is filed under the name Enterobacter asburiae. RNAcentral describes it as "bacterial SSU rRNA". It matches the Rfam family "Bacterial small subunit ribosomal RNA", at positions 1 to 432 of the family's 1533-position model. RNAcentral also lists the same sequence under 1 other name. The record is from RNAcentral. Lineage: Bacteria; Pseudomonadati; Pseudomonadota; Gammaproteobacteria; Enterobacterales; Enterobacteriaceae.